This 750-nucleotide long non-coding RNA is filed under the name Glycine max (soybean). RNAcentral describes it as "long non-coding RNA (GMAX_LNC000667)". The record is from RNAcentral. Lineage: Eukaryota; Viridiplantae; Streptophyta; Magnoliopsida; Fabales; Fabaceae.
GGGGGGAGCACAUACACAUCUUUUUUAAAAAAAAAAUAUUUAUAUAUACAUACUCAAAAAAGAAAAUUAGAUAAUUAACUGCAUAUUUUACAAAUGCACAAAUAGUUGCGAGCUCUUGACCAAGCUCACAACUGGAUUCUCUUCCUAAAACUACAGACUUCGAAACAUGUUUGGCGUUCACAUGUUUACGGGACAAAAUCUUGCAACAUUUACUUAACUACUUAACCAUUCCUGCAAACUCAAGCUAGGUUGGACGCUAGACAUCGGCUACCACCGACUAAAUGUUUCAUGGUUGAUCGAUGAAUAUAUAUCGCACGUCACAAACCAUGCAUAAACAACUUAUAACAAUAAGUUACAUCAAAUUGGAGAAGGUCGUUUAUUAUAGUUGACCAUCGCCAUUUUCGAAUCCCUCGGCGGCAGCUUCUUCUUCUUCGGUGAUUGUUUCCAAAGUGGGUGUGUUAGAAGGUUUCUUUGGGUAAAUGAUAGGUGCUGGGGCAACCUCGAUCCAGGAACUUAGCUUUCUGAUUCCCUUAGCCAUUGGCAUAUUUUGACGACGACAACAAACAACAAUUGAUGUUGAUCAAAUCUCAAAUCAAGUCUUGCUAGCAAAAUAUUUUCUCUCCUCCUCCUAUAUAUGCUUAGAAAGAAGAGAGAUAUUUCCUAAGAGUCUUUAUACAAGGGUUUUAAUUUGUUUAUGAGAGAGAAUCAAAUAAGAAGCAGAUUUUUUUUAUUUUUUUUGGGUUGUUAUGU